AUGGAUGUAGCUCAGUGGAUAGAGCGUACGCAGGCGCAUCAGGCCGUCGGUGCAAUUCCGACCAUUCGUG
This 70-nucleotide transfer RNA is filed under the name Sulfobacillus benefaciens. RNAcentral's name for it is "tRNA-OTHER". It matches the Rfam family "tRNA". From Rfam's summary of the family: Transfer RNA (tRNA) molecules are approximately 80 nucleotides in length. The record is from RNAcentral. Lineage: Bacteria; Bacillati; Bacillota; Clostridia; Eubacteriales; Clostridiales Family XVII. Incertae Sedis.